GGGAUGACUUGUGGGUAGCGGUGAAAUUCCAAUCGAGCCCGGAGAUAGCUGGUUCUCCCCGAAAUAGCUUUAGGGCUAGCCUCAAGGUGAGAGAUACGGAGGUAGAGCACUGAAUGUCCUAGGGGGUAUUGCACCUACCGAAGACUAUCAAACUCCGAAUGCCGUCAUCUUAUACUUGGGAGUCAGACUGUGGGUGAUAAGAUUCAUAGUCGAAAGGGCAACAGCCCAGAUCGUCAGCUAAGGUCCCUAAAUGUAAGUUAAGUGGUAAAGGAUGUGGGAUUGCACAGACAACCAGGAUGUUGGCUUAGAAGCAGCCACUCAUUCAAAGAGUGCGUAAUAGCUCACUGGUCGAGUGAUCCUGCGCCGAAGAUUUCCGGGGCUAAAACUUACUACCGAAGCUACGGCAUCAGUAAUGAUGGGUAGGGGAGCUUCCCAUACGGGUUGAAGCAUGACCGUAAGGACAUGUGGACAGUAUGGGAGUGAGAAUGUUGGCAUGAGUAGCGAGAUGUGGGUGAGAAUCCCACAGGCCGUAAACCCAAGGUUUCCAGGGAAGGUUCGUCCGCCCUGGGUUAGUCGGGACCUAAGCUGAGGCCGAAAGGCGUAGGUGAUGGACAACAGGUUGAUAUUCCUGUACUACCGAUAACCGUUUGAGAAGGGAUGACACAGUAGGAUAAGCUAAGCACACUGUUGGUUAUGUGUGCCCAAGCAUUGAGGCAGUCAAAGUAGGCAAAUCCGCUUUGAUAAUGCUGGGAUGUGAUGGGGAGCGAAAUUUAGUAGCGAAGUAGCUGAUUUCACACUGUCAAGAAAAGUCUCUAUCGAGGUUAAAGGUACCCGUACCGCAAACCGACACAGGUGGGUGAGGAGAGUAUCCUAAGGCCAGCGAGAGAACUGUUGUUAAGGAACUCGGCAAAAUGACCCCGUAACUUAGGGAUAAGGGGUGCCACCAUCAGGUGGCCGCAGAGAAUAGGCCCAAGCGACUGUUUACCAAAAACAUAGGUUUCUGCUAAGUCGCAAGACGAUGUAUAGGAGCUGACGCCUGCCCGGUGCUGGAAGGUUAAGGGGAUCUGUUAGAGCAAUCGAAGCAGUGAACUUAAGCCCCAGUAAACGGCGGCCGUAACUAUAACGGUCCUAAGGUAGCGAAAAUUCCUUGUCGGGUAAGUUCCGACCCCGCACGAAAGGCGUAACGAUUUGGGCACUGUCUCAACAACAGACUCGGUGAAAUUGUAAUUCCGGUGAAGAUGCCGGAUACCUGCGACAGGACGGAAAGACCCCAUGGAGCUUUACUGUAGCUUGACAUUGGUCUUGGUACUACAUGUACAGGAUAGGUGGGAGGCUUUGAAACCAGGACGCCAGUUUUGGCGGAGCCAUCCUUGGGAUACCACCCUUGUAGUACUGGGACUCUAACCAUAGGCCAUGAAUCUGGUUUGGGACACUGUCAGGUGGGCAGUUUGACUGGGGCGGUCGCCUCCCAAAAGGUAACGGAGGCGCUCAAAGGUUCUCUCAGUACGGUCGGAAAUCGUACGUAGAGUGUAAAGGCAAAAGAGAGCUUGAUUGCAAGACAUACAGGUCGAGCAAGGAUGAAAAUCGGACUUAGUGAUCCGGUGGUUCUGCGUGGAAGGGCCAUCGCUCAACGGAUAAAAGCUACCCUGGGGAUAACAGGCUUAUCUCCCCCAAGAGUCCACAUCGACGGGGAGGUUUGGCACCUCGAUGUCGGCUCAUCACAUCCUGGGGCUGUAGUAGGUCCCAAGGGUUGGGCUGUUCGCCCAUUAAAGUGGUACGCGAGCUGGGUUCAGAACGUCGUGAGACAGUUCGGUCCCUAUCCGUCGCAGGCGUAGGAAAUUUGAGAAGACCUGUCCUUAGUACGAGAGGACCGGGAUGGACGUACCUCUGGUGUACCAGUUGUCCUGCCAAGGGCAUGGCUGGGUAGCUAUGUACGGAAUGGAUAAGCGCUGAAAGCAUCUAAGCGCGAAGCCAACUUCAAGAUAAGAUUUCCCACCGCAAGGGUAAGACCCCAGAAAGACUAUCUGGUUGAUAGGUCGAAGGUGUAAGUGCAGCAAUGUAUUUAGCUUAUCGAUACUAAUAGGUCGAGGACUUGACCAAU
This 2101-nucleotide ribosomal RNA is filed under the name Clostridioides difficile. Its description in RNAcentral is "partial 23S ribosomal RNA". It matches the Rfam family "Bacterial large subunit ribosomal RNA", at positions 801 to 2925 of the family's 2925-position model. The record is from RNAcentral. Lineage: Bacteria; Bacillati; Bacillota; Clostridia; Peptostreptococcales; Peptostreptococcaceae.